Molecule: ribosomal RNA, 441 nt
Filed under: uncultured bacterium
Lineage: Bacteria
Description: bacterial SSU rRNA
Rfam family: Bacterial small subunit ribosomal RNA
Source: RNAcentral
AUUGAACGCUGGCGGCAUGCCUUACACAUGCAAGUCGAACGGCAGCACGGGAGCAAUCCUGGUGGCGAGUGGCGAACGGGUGAGUAAUAUAUCGGAACGUGCCCAGUCGUGGGGAUAACGUAGCGAAAGCUACGCUAAUACCGCAUACGAUCUAUGGAUGAAAGCGGGGGAUCGCAAGACCUCGCGCGAUUGGAGCGGCCGAUAUCAGAUUAGGUAGUUGGUGAGGUAAAGGCUCACCAAGCCGACGAUCUGUAGCUGGUCUGAGAGGACGACCAGCCACACUGGGACUGAGACACGGCCCAGACUCCUACGGAGGCAGCAGUGGGGAAUUUUGGACAAUGGGCGCAAGCCUGAUCCAGCAAUGCCGCGUGCAGGAUGAAGGCCUUCGGUUGUAACUAGCUUUUGUACGGUAACGAAACGGUGAGCGUCUAAUACUAGUUU